GGGGCUAUAGCGCAGCUGGUAGCGCAUCUGCUUUGCAAGCAGAGGGUCGCCGGUUCGAACCCGGCUAGCUCCAC
This 74-nucleotide transfer RNA is filed under the name Bifidobacterium longum subsp. longum. RNAcentral describes it as "tRNA-Ala(tgc)". It matches the Rfam family "tRNA". Rfam says of the family: Transfer RNA (tRNA) molecules are approximately 80 nucleotides in length. Their secondary structure includes four short double-helical elements and three loops (D, anti-codon, and T loops). Lineage: Bacteria; Bacillati; Actinomycetota; Actinomycetes; Bifidobacteriales; Bifidobacteriaceae. RNAcentral also lists the same sequence under 54 other names. The record is from RNAcentral.